UACGAAGGGGGCUAGCGUUGCUCGGAAUCACUGGGCGUACAGCGCACGUAGGCGGAUUCUUAAGUCAGGGGUGAAAUCCUGGAGCUCAACUCCAGAACUGCCUUUGAUACUGGGAAUCUCGAGUCCGGGAGAGGUGAGUGGAACUGCGAGUGUAGAGGUGAAAUGCGUAGAUAUUCGCAAGAACACCAGUGGCGAAGGCGGCUCACUGGCCCGGUACUGACGCUGAGGUGCGAAAGCGUGGGGAGCAAACAGG
RNAcentral lists this ribosomal RNA (253 nucleotides) under uncultured bacterium. RNAcentral's name for it is "partial 16S ribosomal RNA". It matches the Rfam family "Bacterial small subunit ribosomal RNA", at positions 524 to 776 of the family's 1533-position model. The record is from RNAcentral.